GACGAACGCUGGCGGCGUGCCUAAUACAUGCAAGUAGAACGCUGAAGAGAGGAGCUUGCUCUUCUUGGAUGAGUUGCGAACGGGUGAGUAACGCGUAGGUAACCUGCCUGGUAGCGGGGGAUAACUAUUGGAAACGAUAGCUAAUACCGCAUAACAACAGUUGUUGCAUGACAGCUGUUUAAAAGAUGCAAUUGCAUCACUACCAGAUGGACCUGCGUUGUAUUAGCUAGUUGGUGAGGUAACGGCUCACCAAGGCGACGAUACAUAGCCGACCUGAGAGGGUGAUCAGCCACACUGGGACUGAGACACGGCCCAGACUCCUACGGGAGGCAGCAGUAGGGAAUCUUCGGCAAUGGGGGGAACCCUGACCGAGCAACGCCGCGUGAGUGAAGAAGGUUUUCGGAUCGUAAAGCUCUGUUGUAAGAGAAGAACGGGUGUGAGAGUGGAAAGUUCACACUGUGACGGUAUCUUACCAGAAAGGGACGGCUAACUACGUG
Molecule: ribosomal RNA, 497 nt
Filed under: uncultured bacterium
Lineage: Bacteria
Description: partial 16S ribosomal RNA
Rfam family: Bacterial small subunit ribosomal RNA
Source: RNAcentral